AUUGAACGCUGGCGGCAUGCCUAACACAUGCAAGUCGAACGGGGUGUAGCAAUACAUCUAGUGGCGGACGGGUGAGGAAUACAUAGGAAUUUGCCCUUAAGUGGGGGAUAGUCCGGGGAAACUCGGUUUAAUACCGCAUGAUCUCGUGAGAGCAAAGCAGGGGACCGCAAGGCCUUGCGCUUUUGGAGAAGCCUAUGUCGGAUUAGCUAGUUGGUAGGGUAAUGGCCUACCAAGGCAACGAUCCGUAACUGGUCUGAGAGGAUGAUCAGUCACACCGGAACUGAGACACGGUCCGGACUCCUACGGGAGGCAGCAGUGGGGAAUAUUGGACAAUGGGCGCAAGCCUGAUCCAGCAAUGCCGCGUGUGUGAAGAAGGCC
RNAcentral lists this ribosomal RNA (378 nucleotides) under uncultured bacterium. Its description in RNAcentral is "bacterial SSU rRNA". It matches the Rfam family "Bacterial small subunit ribosomal RNA", at positions 30 to 416 of the family's 1533-position model. The record is from RNAcentral.